UAAUAAGUGUUUUAUGGCACUUUUUAAAUCCAUAUCCACCUUGUGUGCAAUGUCAGUCGAUCUUCUUCAUGGAGAUCGACCAAACAUCAACCUUUAUCUUUUAAACUCUUUGUCUUAAAAAUAUUAUGAAUAAACAAUUCAAAAUA
RNAcentral lists this unclassified non-coding RNA (146 nucleotides) under soil metagenome. RNAcentral's name for it is "partial internal transcribed spacer 1". The record is from RNAcentral.